This 603-nucleotide long non-coding RNA is filed under the name Homo sapiens (human). Its description in RNAcentral is "HSALNT0293634". The record is from RNAcentral. Lineage: Eukaryota; Metazoa; Chordata; Mammalia; Primates; Hominidae.
GGGAGGAGGGAGCAGGCGUUCCUCUGCUGCUGAAGAGGGCUGUGGAAACUUAAGUCAUAGACAUGCUUCAGUGAGAGGAUGAGGAUUUGCCCAGAUGGGAAGCUUCAAGUGCAGAGGCACUUGUACAUCUACUUAUCUUGAGUCUCAAUGAUGCUGUUUAUGAGUGAGCUAUUCAAAUGGAGGAAGAAACCCACGGAGAAGGAGAAAUAACAGGUCGGAGUGAUUAUGUACAGAAGGAUAGGCUCUAGCAGGAGUCCAGUGGGAAAGAAGGAAGGGAAUACAAUUAAGAAUUAUUAAUGGCAGAUCUCUAAUGAUUUCACUGGAUCCAAAGGAACAGGGCAAUACUGAGUAAGAAACACUUGAUAUACGAAAAAAGCGUGAGUGCGAAGGAAAAUACAUCAUUCUACAGAUGUUGACGGACUCUGACGGUGGGAAAGCGUCCCUCAAGAUUGAAUUGGAGUAGAAGCUGACCCUCCCACUUGCCCAGAGAUCCCCUAGCUGGAUACGAUUUCAGCAAUAGAACACUUGAUCAUCACAGUGCUUGGCAUAUACUUUCCUGAUCAAUUUCAUCACACAAGCUGGCAGCUAUGGGCAGUGAGGGAA